GCUUACGGCCAUACCAACCUGGCUAUGCCCGAUCUCGUCUGAUCUCAGAAGCUAAGCAGGUAUGGGCUUGGUUAGUACUCGGAUGGGAGACCGCCUGGGAGUACCAGGUGUUGUAAGCU
RNAcentral lists this ribosomal RNA (119 nucleotides) under Carassius auratus (goldfish). The record is from RNAcentral. Lineage: Eukaryota; Metazoa; Chordata; Actinopteri; Cypriniformes; Cyprinidae.